This 460-nucleotide ribosomal RNA is filed under the name uncultured bacterium. Its description in RNAcentral is "partial 16S ribosomal RNA". It matches the Rfam family "Bacterial small subunit ribosomal RNA", at positions 338 to 795 of the family's 1533-position model. The record is from RNAcentral.
CCUACGGGAGGCAGCAGUGAGGAAUAUUGGUCAAUGGACGCAAGUCUGAACCAGCCAUGCCGCGUGCAGGAAGACGGCUCUCUGAGUUUUAAACUGCUUUUGUACGAGGAUAAACGCAGAUACGCGUAUCUGUCUGAAAGUAUCUUACGAAUAAGGAUCGGCUAACUCCGUGACAGCAGCCGCGGUCAUACGGAGGAUUCAAGCGUUAUCCGGAUUUAUUGGGUUUAAAGGGUGCGUAGGCUGUCGGAUCAGUUAGAGGUGAAAUCCCGAGGCUCAACUUCGGAAUUGCCUGUGAUACGGGUCGGCUAGAGAGUAGGUGCGGGAGGCGGAAUGGAAGGUGUAGCGGUGAAAUGCUUAGAGAUCAUACAGAACACCGAUUGCGAAGGCAGCUGACCAAGCUACUUCUGACGUUGAGGCACGAAAGCGUGGGGAGCAAACAGGAUUAGAUACCCCGGUAGUC